Long non-coding RNA from Talpa occidentalis (Iberian mole), 463 nucleotides. RefSeq lists it as uncharacterized. Lineage: Eukaryota; Metazoa; Chordata; Mammalia; Eulipotyphla; Talpidae. The record is from RefSeq and is a predicted model, not a curated record. The transcript has 3 exons.
UGUUUCUGCUGGUAAUAUUUCAAGCUGAAUUUCUCUUUCAGUUCUAAAAUGUCUACAGUGGGCAUCAGGGUUCUGAGGAUGUUGUUGGUCAACUGAGUUCAGCAGUAGAGGUGGCAUCCACAGUGAUACUACUUUGUUAUUAUUCCUUUGCCAAGAUGAAUAAAGCAAGGCUAAAGUAAGGCUCUUCAGACAAUUCAUUAAUCCCACUAUUUGGAAAGCCUAUUCAGAUUUUUCUAUUCACAUCAAGAUUCUGCAGAAAAUGGAGUUAAGACAGAUGUUAUCCAACCCUAUCAAGCAUUGUCUAUGAUGCCUGCAAUUCAAGUCCAUGAGCUUCAUCAAGUUUUAUAUAAAUAGAUGCAAGUGUAUAAUUGAAAUAAAAAAAAUUAAUGGCCCCAAAUAGGGGGACAUUAAAAUAUGGCUCAAUAAAAUGUGUCCAUCCAUAUAAUAGAAUAUAAGCAGCCUA